AUGCAGCAACGCCGCGUGAAGGAUGAAGGCCUUCGGGUUGUAAACUUCUGUCCUAGGGGAAGAAACAAAUGACAUUACCCUUGGAGGAAGCCCCGGCUAACUACGUGCCAGCAGCCGCGGUAAUACGUAGGGGGCGAGCGUUAUCCGGAAUUAUUGGGCGUAAAGAGUGCGUAGGUGGCACCUUAAGCGCAGGGUUUAAGGCAAUGGCUCAACCAUUGUUCGCCUUGCGAACUGGGGUGCUUGAGUGCAGGAGGGGAAAGUGGAAUUCCUAGUGUAGCGGUGAAAUGCGUAGAUAUUAGGAGGAACACCAGUGGCGAAGGCGACUUUCUGGACUGUUACUGACACUGAGGCACGAAAGCGUGGGGAGCAAACAGGAUUAGAUACCCUGGUAGUCCACGCCGUAAACGAUGAGCACUAGGUGUCGGGGUCGCAAGACUUCGGUGCCGCAGUUAACGCAUUAAGUGCUCCGCCUGGGGAGUACGCACGCAAGUGUAAAACUCAAAGGAAUUGACGGGGACCCGCACAAGCAGCGGAGCAUGUGGUUUAAUUCGAAGCAACGCGAAGAACCUUACCAGGACUUGACAUCCUCUUGACAGAUCCUUAAUCGGAUUCUUCUUCGGACAAGAGAGACAGGUGGUGCAUGGUUGUCGUCAGCUCGUGUCGUGAGAUGUUGGGUUAAGUCCCGCAACGAGCGCAACCCUUGCCAUUAGUUGCCAUCAUUUAGUUGGGCACUCUAGUGGGACUGCCGGGGAAAACUCGGAGGAAGGUGGGGAUGACGUCAAAUCAUCAUGCCCCUUAUGUUCUGGGCUACACACGUGCUACAAUGGCCGGUACAACAGGCAGCGAACCCGUGAGGGGGAGCGAAUCCCAAAAGCCGGUCCCAGUUCGGACUGUAGGCUGCAACUCGCCUACACGAAGUUGGAGUUGCUAGUAAUCGCGGAUCAGAAUGCCGCGGUGAAUGCGUUCCCGGGUCUUGUACACACCGC
RNAcentral lists this ribosomal RNA (986 nucleotides) under human oral metagenome. RNAcentral describes it as "bacterial SSU rRNA". It matches the Rfam family "Bacterial small subunit ribosomal RNA", at positions 386 to 1393 of the family's 1533-position model. The record is from RNAcentral.